GGACCAAGGAGUCUAGCAUGUGCGCGAGUCAUUGGGAUUUUUACUAAACCUAARGGCGCAAUGAAAGUGAAGGUCCGCCUUGCGCGGUCCGAGGGAGGAUGGAUCGUACCGAGGUACAGUCUCGCACUCCCGGGGCGUCUCGUUCUCAUCGCGAGAAGAGGCGCACCCAGAGCGUACACGCUGGGACCCGAAAGAUGGUGAACUAUGCCUGGUCAGGACGAAGUCAGGGGAAACCCUGAUGGAGGUCCGUAGCGAUUCUGACGUGCAAAUCGAUCGUCGGAACUGGGUAUAGGGGCGAAAGACUAAUCGAACCAUCUAGUAGCUGGUUCCCUCCGAAGUUUCCCUCAGGAUAGCUGGCGCUCGCUUCUCGCGAGUCUCAUUCGGUAAAGCGAAUGAUUAGAGGCAUUGGGGUCGAAACGGCCUCAACCUAUUCUCAAACUUUAAAUGGGUGAGAUCUCCGGCUUGCUUGAACUAUGAAGCCGCGAGAUAUCGGAUCAGAGUGCCAAGUGGGCCACUUUUGGUAAGCAGAACUGGCGCUGUGGGAUGAACCAAACGCAGAGUUAAAGCGCCUAAAUCGACGCUUAUGGGAUACCAUGAAAGGCGUUGGUAACUUAAGACAGCAGG
RNAcentral lists this ribosomal RNA (624 nucleotides) under Maladera sp. DA0678. Its description in RNAcentral is "eukaryotic LSU rRNA". It matches the Rfam family "Eukaryotic large subunit ribosomal RNA", at positions 663 to 1244 of the family's 3401-position model. The record is from RNAcentral. Lineage: Eukaryota; Metazoa; Arthropoda; Insecta; Coleoptera; Scarabaeidae.